Molecule: ribosomal RNA, 1014 nt
Filed under: Triticum aestivum (bread wheat)
Lineage: Eukaryota; Viridiplantae; Streptophyta; Magnoliopsida; Poales; Poaceae
Description: partial small subunit ribosomal RNA
Source: RNAcentral
AUGCCCUCUGAUUUUGAGAAUAGUGUGAAAGAAUUUAUGAUUUCUCAAAAGAAUUUUAAUGCUUUGCUUGAAGAAAAAUUGCUCAAAGUUGAUGAUUUGGCUAGGAACGUUGAUAGACUUUCGCUUGAUGUUAAUUCUCUUAAACUUGGAUCUUCUUCUCCUAAGCAUGAUAUCAAUGAGUCUCUCAAAGUAAUGAUAAUUUCCAUUGACGAGUGCAAGGAAAGAACCGCUAGAUUGCAUGCUAAAAAAGAAAGCUUUAUAAAAGCGUGUUCUUCUAGUUUCCGUGAAAAUAAUGAUGAGGAUCUUAAGGUUAUUGAUGCAUCUCUGAUUAGAUCUAUGUUUUGCAAUAUGAAUUUUGAUGAUUAUGGGAGUGAUGAUGAAUCAACUUUGCCUAGAAGGCGUCCCAAAAAUUCGGAGUCUUUAGAUCUUGAUGUUAAAUUUGGUAAAAGAGAGAUUGGAGAAUCCUCAACUUCUAAUAAUAUUGAACCUACUAUCUCGGAUUGCAAGGAAUUUGAUUAUGAUAAUUGUUCUUUAAAAGGGUGUAUUUCCUUGUUGCAAUCCGUUGUUAAUUCUCCUCAUGCUUAUAAUCAAAAUAAAGCUUUUACCAAACAUAUUGUUGAUGCCUUGAUGCAAUCUUAUGAUGAAAAACUUAAUUUGGAAGUUUCUAUACCUAGAAAACUUAAUGAUGAGUGGGAACCUACUAUAAAGAUUAGAAUUAAAGAUUAUGAGUAUUUUGCUUUGUGUGAUUUGGGUGCUAGUGUUUCCACGAUUCCGAAAACUUUAUGUGAUAUUCUAGUUUUCCAUGAUUUUGAUGAUUGCUCUUUAAAUUUGCACCUUGCGGAUUCCACCAUUAAAAAGCCUAUGGGAAGGAUCAAUGAUGUUCUUAUUGUUGCAGAUAGAAAUUCGGUGCCCGUAGAUUUUAUCAUUCUUGAUAUAGAUUGCAAUCUUUCUUGCCCUAUUAUUCUUGGUAGACCUUUCCUUAGAACGAUUGGUGCGAUUAUUGAUAUGAAGUAA